RNAcentral lists this ribosomal RNA (261 nucleotides) under uncultured archaeon. Its description in RNAcentral is "partial 16S ribosomal RNA". It matches the Rfam family "Archaeal small subunit ribosomal RNA", at positions 748 to 1008 of the family's 1478-position model. The record is from RNAcentral.
CAGUCGUAAACAAUGUGCGUUAGGUGUGUCGGUAACCACGUGUUACUGAUGCGCCGAAGAGAAAUCGUGAAACGCACCACCUGGGAAGUACGGUCGCAAGGCUGAAACUUAAAGGAAUUGGCGGGGGAGCACCACAACAGGUGGAGCCUGCGGUUUAAUUGGAUUCAACGCCGGACAUCUCACCGGAUAAGACAGCUGAAUGAUUGUCAAUCUGAAGGUUUUACAUGACUAGCUGAGAGGAGGUGCAUGGCGUCAGUGACU